UUUUCUCCCUUUUCCUUUUUGUAAUCUUCUUAAGUCUCUUGGUUUUCUCAGUUUUUGCUAUAAUUUCAUCUUUUCGUUUGAAUUUGGACUUCAUUGUUAGUUUAGUAAAUCGUAUGUGGUGAUUUCUUUGCGUGGUUUAUCUAAAUUUUUCCCAAGAUAACUAUAAACCUGAAAAGUUUUAAAAACGGACCACAAAGUCGCCACAUUGCCACUGUUUUAUACUGUCCUGGUUGGUAUCUUUGUUCGAUGGACUAUGUUGGCCUCCCCUACAAAGAAAAGACUUCAUUAUUCUUGAUUUGAUAAUGGGAGUAGAGAGAUAAAGAGUGAGUUUAGAAAGGGAACUCACGAGAAAAUUAAAAUUUCUGAAGUGAUGGCAUAGGUUUGUUUAUUUCAAGGUUUCUGUGACCCUUUUGACGAUAUGCUUCCUGAACCAGCCGUUGCCCAUGCUGCUAGGGCUGGUGGGAAGUUUCAACCAAGGGCUAAAUCACAAGCAAGGAAGGUAACAUCCACAUCAUUUCCUUCUGUGCUUCCAAGCAAUGCCAGGGAAAAAUCUGUUUCAUCAUUCCCAACUACCUUUGACACAACAAAACCUGUUCAGUCUGUUCAUCCUGUGGAUGAUAGAGGUGGUUCUUUGGUUUCAUCAUCAGGAUUACCUGGGAGUGAAGAACACUUGGAAGACAAUGACAAUAACCUGAAAUGUGAACCAGUGAAAUCUUCAACCCAAACUGUUGAAAGAAGAGAGGAUCUAGCUUCUCCAGAUGCUCUGCCUUCAGAAUUUGUGGUGACUAAUAGCAACAAGAAUGGAGAUUCUAACCUCUUGAUAAGAGAGGCAGAUCCCUUGGGGCUUGAUUUGGACCCUUUUGCUGUCAUUUUUCCUAAUACUACUCUAAGUAAAGUGAGGGCUGGUGGCAAAUUUCAACCAAGGGGAAAGGCCUGGCCUAGGAAGGGAACAUCUGAGUUAAAUGCUUUUUCUGUUUCUGGUGCUACAGUGGGAGGGCAUGCUAGUGUAGUUUCCACGGUCUCAGAUAACCUGCAGUCUGCUAAAUUUAUUGAUGUUGGAGAUUGUAGAUUGAUGGAUUCAGUUUAUUCAUCUUUAACUACCUUGGAGAGCAUGGAAAGCAAAGAGGCGUUGAGAAAUGAUGACUGCACAAAUUCCGGAGUUCUAUUAUUCAAUGUUGAAAGAAGUUCAGGAUUAGCGAAUUCUUCCCAUUUAGUUGCCUCUGAUGCUCUGCAUUCACGUGUUAUUGACAGAGAUUCACAUUCUGGGUUGGGAAAAUCAACUGGAGAAAGUGCAGACAUAUUUUCAGGGUUGGAAUAUAUUCUUGAUUUUGUUACCCAGUCCCCAAGAAGUACAGAAGAACAUUCUAGAUUUCCAGCUUUAAUUUCUGUUAGUUCUUCACUACUCAGUGCAGGCAGUGAGGCAACUCAAAAUCCUGUAACUUGUAAUGAACCUGCUGUUCAGACUGAUAAUGGAAAGCUGAAGUCAGACUUUCAGGAACCAGGAUCCUUCCCGAACUUGGAAAGUCCAGGCAUUUUGCCUCCGUCUGCCAUUGCAUUGGAAUGCUGUACCAGAAAAAUCCAGCCAAAAACCGUGUUACAAAAUGGCCAAGAGAAACCUAGUACUAGCAUCCUUCCAGAUGCAGUGGAGUCUAUUGUGCCUCUAUCAAAUGCUCAAAUUGAUCCCUCUGAAACUGUGUACAUUGAUGAGGGCACAAUUCCUACCUUCCCAUCAGAGGAUGUUCUUGAUAAUUCAUCCAUGAGCUUUAGCAAUUUUAUUCCCACAGAUCCUACUACGUCUGAGUUUCCAAUGAAUGAAGAACAAAUAAACCUUGCUGAAGCUUCUUGCUCUGGUGACGUAAAUAUUUUGCACCAAGAAGAUGUACCUGGAGUGCCUGUAAAAGAGAGUUCUAAGGAUAGGAAAAGAAAGUCUGCUUCAGUAUCAAAUCUUGCUCAGAAUUCCAAACAAUAUUCUUUAGUUGGUGAGAUGAAUGAAAGUGGCAAAUCGGCAAGGCAGCUGAGGAAGCGGAUUGCUGCUCCACAACUUGUUGAUGGGCUGGAGGAUGAAGCUCAUGAUACUGAUGGCUUCCCUCCUGAAUCUCCUAGUAAUUCUAUUGCAGAUGAAGGACACAUUGAUUAUGACUAUGGAGUGGAUGAAGAUAGAGUGGAAAAUGCAUCUAGCAAUAAAAGAGCUUCAAAAAAGUCAAAAAAACCUUCGGCUGAACAGGAAAAGAAACCUGUUAGUAGAUGUAAGAGGGACAAUGGUGCACCAGAACAGUCAAAUCAACAGUCACACAAGAAGUUUUCUCAUUCCACUCGUCAGAAAAACAGAUUAAAAGAUUUGCUUAGCAUACCAGAGGAUGAAAUUGAUUUCCAGAAGAUGCCUCUCAAAGAUAUUAUUUUGCUUGCAGGGUACAAGGAGAAGUUAGCUGUAUGCACUCUGUUUACUAGCUCUUGUGAUGAUAUUUUUAAUGUAGUUGCUGUGGUUUGGUUUAUAAUAACAUUUUGUAUAGCAUUAUUCAUUUUAUGUUUGCGGAAUGCUACACACUGGCCAUUUCUGCUUGACCUUCAUUUCUUCUUUCUUGCUGAUUAAAGAGGCACAAGCUUCAAAGAAUGCCUCAACCAAUAAAAGGUAUGAAUUUAAUAGCAAGAGGCAUAUAUAGCUGACUUUUAUGUUCUUGAGCAAUUGCUGCAUGUGAAUUAACAUAUAUACAUGCACCAAUCUGGGUAUAAAUGAAAGCCACAGUUUCUUUGGCUUUAUGCACAGUUAACAUGAUAUAUUAAUAAUGAUGUAUAUCUAUCUUUUAUUACUCAAUAAUUUAUGAACUGCUUCUAGAAUCUAGAUAGCUAGUGGAACUGGAGGAAGGCCUUAUAGAGCUUUCAGAUCUCAAUACAGAUUCAUGUUUUGCAAGUGUCAGUAUCUUUCAGUUCUUGUCCCAUUCACCAACAAAAGAAGUAAAAGGAGGAAAACCCCUUCUACGAUAUAUGAAUGCAGUGUUGAGAUAUUAGCUUAUAUAUCUCAACAUCAACUUCAGGCACAAAAUUACUGUUGAUAAAGUGAUGAAAACUAAAAUAAAAAGAUGUACCUAAUAAAUGAUAAAGCAUGAUUCUUUUAGUUGAACUCUAGUUUUUAGUUCAGAAUUUUGGAUUUGAUUAAAAGAGGAAAGGAAAAUAAAUUGCCUUCUUUUUUCUUAUAUAUUUCCCCAUGGAUUGUGCACUUUUGUCAUCUUAUGACUUAUGUGGACAGAAAAGUGUUCCACCAAAGAAAUGCCUGUUUUCUGUGUAAUUGUACGUGUGGAUGGGAAAUAUACAGGUUAGGUUGGUUUUAUUUAUUUAUUUAUUUUUUCACAAAUCACCAGUAAACUAAUUUAGUUUUUAUGGAAGUUGAUCUGUGGAAUUUGAAGAAUUCAGUGCAUCAGACGAAACUGUUAUCUGUAAAAGUAUAUGCCUUUGUUGCCGGUAAUGUUCAUAAAUUUCUUCCAUCUAGUUAAGUCGUGUUUGGGACAGUGGGUGGUCUGCUUUUGGCACCUGCAAUUUUCUGCCCCAUGGUUCCUCCCAACCAUGUUCUUGGGAAAGCUUCAUUUUGAAGCUUUCUCAAAGCCAUGGUCCAGCAGCAGAAGGUUAAAAAGAAAUGAAAAAUAACAAAAAUAAGGCAAAAGCAUUUUGGGAGAAUCUAAUCAAACUGGUCCACCCUACAAAUGAGCCUUUAGUUUAGAAUAAGCGCUAACAAUUCUGUCCUUUGGGGAAGAUUCUCAUAAUAAAGAGGAUACCAUUACGUCAGAGCAAGAUGGAGGCUGCGCCGAAAAUCAAUCAAAUUCCUUAUUUAAUUACCAUUCUUUCAUGGAUAAAACACCAACU
This is an RNA transcript of Hevea brasiliensis (rubber tree), 3855 nucleotides long. RefSeq lists it as uncharacterized. NCBI's taxonomy places the organism in Eukaryota, Viridiplantae, Streptophyta, Magnoliopsida, Malpighiales, Euphorbiaceae. The record is from RefSeq and is a predicted model, not a curated record. The transcript is spliced from 11 exons.